CCUACGGGUGGCAGCAGUGGGGAAUAUUGGACAAUGGGGGGAACCCUGAUCCAGCCAUGCCGCGUGUGUGAAGAAGGCCCUCGGGUUGUAAAGCACUUUCAGUGAGGAAGAACGCCUGGUGGUUAAUACCCAUCAGGAAAGACAUCACUCACAGAAGAAGCACCGGCUAACUCCGUGCCAGCAGCCGCGGUAAUACGGAGGGUGCGAGCGUUAAUCGGAAUUACUGGGCGUAAAGCGCGCGUAGGUGGCUUGAUAAGCCGGUUGUGAAAGCCCCGGGCUCAACCUGGGAACGGCAUCCGGAACUGUCAAGCUAGAGUGCAGGAGAGGAAGGUAGAAUUCCCGGUGUAGCGGUGAAAUGCGUAGAGAUUGGGAGGAAUACCAGUGGCGAAGGCGGCCUUCUGGACUGACACUGACACUGAGGUGCGAAAGCGUGGGUAGCAAACAGGAUUAGAUACCCUAGUAGUC
RNAcentral lists this ribosomal RNA (465 nucleotides) under Vreelandella stevensii. RNAcentral describes it as "partial 16S ribosomal RNA". It matches the Rfam family "Bacterial small subunit ribosomal RNA", at positions 338 to 795 of the family's 1533-position model. The record is from RNAcentral. Lineage: Bacteria; Pseudomonadati; Pseudomonadota; Gammaproteobacteria; Oceanospirillales; Halomonadaceae.